ACGCUGGCGGCAGGCCUAACACAUGCAAGUCGAGCGGAUGAAGGGAGCUUGCUCCCUGAUUCAGCGGCGGACGGGUGAGUAAUGCCUAGGAAUCUGCCUGGUAGUGGGGGACAACGUCUCGAAAGGGACGCUAAUACCGCAUACGUCCUACGGGAGAAAGUGGGGGAUCUUCGGACCUCACGCUAUCAGAUGAGCCUAGGUCGGAUUAGCUAGUUGGUGAGGUAAUGGCUCACCAAGGCGACGAUCCGUAACUGGUCUGAGAGGAUGAUCAGUCACACUGGAACUGAGACACGGUCCAGACUCCUACGGGAGGCAGCAGUGGGGAAUAUUGGACAAUGGGCGAAAGCCUGAUCCAGCCAUGCCGCGUGUGUGAAGAAGGUCUUCGGAUUGUAAAGCACUUUAAGUUGGGAGGAAGGGCAUUAACCUAAUACGUUAGUGUUUUGACGUUACCGACAGAAUAAGCACCGGCUAACUCUGUGCCAGCAGCCGCGGUAAUACAGAGGGUGCAAGCGUUAAUCGGAAUUACUGGGCGUAAAGCGCGCGUAGGUGGUUUGUUAAGUUGAAUGUGAAAUCCCCGGGCUCAACCUGGGAACUGCAUCCAAAACUGGCAAGCUAGAGUAGGGCAGAGGGUGGUGGAAUUUCCUGUGUAGCGGUGAAAUGCGUAGAUAUAGGAAGGAACACCAGUGGCGAAGGCGACCACCUGGGCUCAUACUGACACUGAGGUGCGAAAGCGUGGGGAGCAAAC
RNAcentral lists this ribosomal RNA (745 nucleotides) under uncultured bacterium. Its description in RNAcentral is "bacterial SSU rRNA". It matches the Rfam family "Bacterial small subunit ribosomal RNA", at positions 33 to 773 of the family's 1533-position model. The record is from RNAcentral.